GGCGGUGUAGCUCAGUUGGUCAGAGCAUGCGGCUCAUAUCCGCAGUGUCCGGGGUUCAA
This 59-nucleotide transfer RNA is filed under the name Syntrophobacteraceae bacterium. Its description in RNAcentral is "tRNA-Met". It matches the Rfam family "tRNA", at positions 1 to 56 of the family's 71-position model. Rfam says of the family: Transfer RNA (tRNA) molecules are approximately 80 nucleotides in length. The record is from RNAcentral. Lineage: Bacteria; Pseudomonadati; Thermodesulfobacteriota; Syntrophobacteria; Syntrophobacterales; Syntrophobacteraceae.